CCGCCGCCGAGAGUCGCGCGGCUCCCGCCCUCCGCGGUGCAACAGCAGCGAGACCCGCCGCCCCGGGCCCGGGCCGCACUCGGGAGCGGGGCGUCGCCGCUGCAGCCGCCGCCUCGGGAGCCGACUAGAAACCCAUGGUUAAUCACAAGCGUCUUCAGCAUCCCGUCCUGCUUCUGUCUGAUAAAACUUCACCCUUGGAUCAACCCACCUCUGUCUCUGCGCUUCUGAAAUCCUGGGACCCACUGCAGGAGACACCGUUCAUGCAUCGCUGGCUGACACCGGGCUCAAAAGCAGAUCACGUUUGGCAUCAUCUUAUUAAAGCUUUCUGGACCUUUCUCAGGACCCCAGAGUUCCGGGAAGAACCCAACAUUCCCUGGUGCCAGCCUGUGGCUGUGCCAGUCACAUCCGCCCUGCUGAGCCUCCUCUAGCUCCUAUGUACCAGCCCAACCUGGGCACCCCUAUCCUGACCACACCUUGUACUCUCCUCUCUCCAGCCCUUUGCUCCUGUUGUUUCUUCCACCUGGGCUGCUGUCCCUCCAGUUUUUGCUGGUCGAAACCUCAUCCAUCCUUAAGGCUCAGCCUGCGCACGCGUCCUGUGGCUAUCAGGUCCCUCCUUCUCUGGCUCCUCGUAGCCUGGCCACGGUAGCCGGCCCUGGUGUGCUCCGGAAGCUCACGCUCGUCCUCUGACUCACUUCUCCGUCUCCCCUCCCAGAGCUGGGGUGGCCACAGAACUUUCUGGGAAGAGCUUUGGAGUCAGACAAGACCGGCUUCCGCGGAGCUGCAGUCUCGGUGGUUGUGAAACGGGGGUAUUGAUGAUCAUUCGCCACCGUGAGGAAGCGUGGAGGGAGCUGCCACCCGGAGCCCGGGCACCCGUCCCGGCGCUGCCCUGUGCUUGGCCCUGGGGACACAGCAGUGGAGACAGCCCUGCCUGCCAGCAUGGAAGCGGCUUGAGCUAACAUUAGUACUAGCGGUCUGUUAUUAUAGCAGCUUUAUUGGUGUAUUUACAUUAAAGUACAAAAUCUUGGGGCGCCUGGGUGGCUCCGUCGGUUGAGCGUCCGCCUUCGGCUCAGGUCACGAUCUCUCAGUUCGUGAGUUCGAACCUUGUGUCGGGCUCUGUGCUGACAGCUCAGAGCCUAGAGCCUCUUUGGAUUCUGUGUCUCCCUCUCUCUCCGCCCCUCCCUGCUCGCUGUCUGUCUCUCUCUCUCAAAAAUCAAUACACAUUAAAAAAAAUUAAAGUACAGAAUCUUUGUGAGUGACCAGAUGAAUGUUCCCAUAUGUCCACACUGUGGCUCCGUGCGGAUCGAGUCAUAGCACCUUCCAGUCCCCCAGGAGCCUCCACCGAGGGCAGCUACUGUUUUGACCUUUAC
This 1367-nucleotide long non-coding RNA is filed under the name Lynx canadensis (Canada lynx). RNAcentral describes it as "lncRNA (ENSLCNG00005000743.1)". The record is from RNAcentral. Lineage: Eukaryota; Metazoa; Chordata; Mammalia; Carnivora; Felidae.